Molecule: ribosomal RNA, 686 nt
Filed under: uncultured Acidobacteriota bacterium
Lineage: Bacteria; Pseudomonadati; Acidobacteriota
Description: bacterial SSU rRNA
Rfam family: Bacterial small subunit ribosomal RNA
Source: RNAcentral
AGCGGCGUACGGGUGAGUAACACGUGGAUUAUCUACCUCUUAGUGGGACAUACCUCUGGGAAACCGGAGACAAUACCGCAUAAGUUCGAGAGAAGAAAGCAGCAAUGCGCUGAGAGAAGAAUCCGCGGCCGAUUAGCUAGAUGGCGGGGUAAUGGCCCACCAUGGCGACGAUCGGUAGCCGGCCUGAGAGGGCACACGGCCACACUGGCACUGAAACACGAGCCAGACUCCUACGGGAGGCAGCAGUGGGGAAUCUUGCACAAUGGAGGAAACUCUGAUGCAGCGACGCCGCGUGGACGACGAAGCCCUUCGGGGUGUAAAGUCCUUUCGACCGGAACGAUAAUGACGGUACCGGUGGAAGAAGCUGCGGCUAACUACGUGCCAGCAGCCGCGGUAAUACGUAGGCAGCAAGCGUUGUUCGGAAUUAUUGGGCGUAAAGAGCUCGUAGGCGGUUUGCCAAGUUUGGUGUGAAAUCUCCCGGCUUAACUGGGAGGGUGCGCCGAAUACUAGCAGGCUAGAGUACGGGAGAGGAAAGCGGAAUUCCUGGUGUAGCGGUGAAAUGCGUAGAUAUCAGGAGGAACACCUGCGGUGUAGACGGCUUUCUGGACCGAAACUGACGCUGAGGAGCGAAAGCGUGGGUAGCAAACAGGAUUAGAUACCCUGGUAGUCCACGCCCUAAACGAUGC